RNAcentral lists this small nucleolar RNA (129 nucleotides) under Dasypus novemcinctus (nine-banded armadillo). RNAcentral's name for it is "Small nucleolar RNA SNORA31 (ENSDNOG00000041116.1)". It matches the Rfam family "Small nucleolar RNA SNORA31". Rfam says of the family: ACA31 (SNORA31) belongs to the H/ACA class of snoRNAs which are thought to guide the sites of modification of uridines to pseudouridines. The record is from RNAcentral. Lineage: Eukaryota; Metazoa; Chordata; Mammalia; Cingulata; Dasypodidae.
AUUCAUCUAUGAGAGACCUGGAGGAGUUAAUGUCUGCUGCUAAGGUUUCCACUACAGAUGCAUGAAAAAGAAGGUCCUCACACUUUCUGUCUGCAUGUAGCAGCCAAGAUUGAAUGAAGGAAUACAUAG